UUAAAAUAUAAUAGAUAUAUUUUAAUAUUUUCAUAAUUUCAAUUCUAAAUUUUUUAUUAAAUAUUUUUACUUUUGUAUAUAUAUUGUUUAAAAAAAAAGAAAAAAAAUUUACCCUCCCGCAACCGUCCACAACCGCAAAUGCUAGCUGAAGCCAGCUUUUGAAUUUAUGAGAUUCAGAGCGGUUUGAAGCGGUUUAGAGCGAUUUGAGUGAUUGUUGCAAACCACCGACAACCGCUACCAACCGCAAAAGCUGCGUUUGCGGGUGGUAGCGAGAAAACCAGUCGCCCCCUAAGACUCGUUAAUCACUUAAUUGUUUAUACAGUUUAAAAACAAAAUCUGACAUAUAACAAGAUCUGACAUAUAUUAAAAGAAAUUAAUAUUUUUCAUUUUAUAUGUUACUAUAUAUAUAUAUAUAUAUUAGAAAUAUAUUCAUUAAAAAUAAAUAUAUUGUAAAUAUAUUAUACUAAUUUUUAUAAUAAUUUUAAAUAGCAUAAUCAUACUGCUCUACCAAUCAUCUUAUUAAACAGUUUAGCAAAAGCAUACAUAUCUCAUGCAACAUACUGCUUCUUUAGCAUACUGCUACUGCUAAUGCUAACGGUCUACCAAUCAAGGCCUUAGUCGAAGUUCGUAAUUCAUGAUUUGACAUUUUUUUGGUUAAGAGACGGCUCUUAUAUCUAUAUUUAAGAGACAAUUCCUAACUUUUCUUAAUUUAAAUAUAAGAAAAACUAAGAACCGUCUGUUAUUCAAAACUAAAAAUUCCAAUUAAGAGACUGAGGUUAAUCAUGGUCUAAUUCUAAUAAUUAUUUACUUAAAAAUGAUGAAUAUUUAGAGCAGUUCUUUGGAAAAUUCUAUUAAACUUUUAUUUUCCUUACUUUUGCAUGCUACACAUACUUGCAUUACAGCUUUUCACUACCAGAUCAACUAAAGUAUUGUUAUGUUAUGGGGCCAAAACUAAAACUAACAAAAAUGUUGGGCAUAAAACGGAAGAUCUCUGGAGCAUGGUACCAAAGAGAAGUGAACGGACUGAUUGAUAUGGGCAAGAAAACAAACGAAACAAAAAAAAUCAUAGUAUCAUUCUUACUUGUAAGAGCCUUGUCGUAGUUUUCUGUUUACAAAAAAAAUGUUUUUGAAGAUAUCAACUGAAAUGUAUUAUACUGAAGACUUGUUAAGAGUGAAUACGUAUAUACAAAUAGUAGUACUACCGUUCACACAUUAAACGAAAUAUUAAUUUGACUUAGGAACCCAGGUCUGUCAAUGGAUUCUUUUUCGCGUCAUCAGUUUGAUUAUAAAACAGUAUAGUAUUAGACUACUAGUUUAGUACGUUACUAGUUUAUAGCAUUAUUUUGACCAUUUAUGCCUUAGGAGACUGUGAUUUUCCCGCACGCCCACAAAGUUUCUAUUCCCCACAAAUCUUAAGACUUUUGAUUACUUCACUUUUAAAUAACUUUUUUUCUUGAACCAUUUUAUAUAGCAUUUUUUGUGGAACAACCAUUUUAUAUUAGCUAAAAACGAAUUCGAUCACUUUUAAUUAUAUUUCAAUCAAUGUUACUUCGCCUACUUCAUUUUUCAGAGGACGGAAACUCAUUUGAAUAGAGAAUAACAAUAUAUUCAAAACACAAGAGAUGAAUAAACUUCAUAAGAAGUUAGAAAAAAUAAUUUUAGGAAAUUGCAGACUUGAGAAAUAGGAACAACACAUGGACAUCAUCGUUUCUGAAGAAUGUUAUUAUAUAGAGUAUGAAUUUUUGUAUAUAAACAUGAUAUAUUUUGAAAUUUGAAGUCUAAAGUUUUGUCCCUAGAAUUGAGGAAUUCCAUUUACCAAGAUUCUCUUAAUUUGCUCAAUCUCAGUCUCUUCACCAAUUAGCGAAUAAUUAUGUUUAGCUAGUAAGCCUAGUCCAGCUAGGUUGAGUUAUGAAGUAAAAAAUGUUACAAUAAAUAACGUGGGAUAUACGUUAUAUGAAACAUAUAUACAUUUUAACAGGAGGAAACCAAUGAAAAGAACUGUUGACAAAGAAAGCAAAGGUGAAAAUGAAACACAGUUUCGAGUUUUUAUUUGACCUGUUGACUUUUAUUUCACUUAUUAGGAGGACCAACGAAACUGCUAACUCAGAGAAGAGGACCACCUUCCGGGCAGAACGGUCACGUGUUCGGGCAGGUUGGUUAAUGAAUAUCGUAACGAUGACGUCAUCAAGCUCACCUAAAUAGUAGCUCUUUCGGCAUUGACGACGCCACAAUCCCUUGCAAAGGUCCAAUUGGGCCCCGGCCCACGAAGGUUAUUAUUUAUUUAUUUCUCUCUUUGCCUUAUAAUCACUCCUCACUUGAUUCCUUCUCCAUCAUAUAUCUCACCGUUUAUCAAGACUCUCUCUCUCUCUCUCUCUCUCUCUCUCUCUAAAUGGAACAGAGAGAAGAGCUCUCAUGGAUGAAAGAAGCGAAACAGGAGUUUCUCCAAGGCAGUAGCGUGAACAUAAACCUCAUGAUGCAUAGAGAUUAUUGGGUCCGUUGUGCUGAAACAUUAAGUUUCUUUUCGGAACUCCAAUUACAUUGAUAAUCUGGUGUUAUCCCAACUUGAGCUCAUUGUCAAUUUUUUUUUUCUUUUUUUAAACUUCUUUCUUCCACUGAAUGAUUUUUAUUUUCUUGACCUUGUAAGGCCUUUUCUUGACCUUGUAAGACCCCAUCCCUUUCUAAGUGUCUCCUUCUUCUAUCAUUUUACAGAUUUUCUUUUAUCUCUUUUUGGUGUAAGAUAUGUAUGUAUAUCUACCCCUAGUUUGUCUGAGUCAUCUUCUCCUACCUUGUCUAUCCCUCCUGAGCUAGUCCUUGUAUCUUUUUGUUAGUCCAUUGAUAUAAAUUUCAAAAAAAAAGAACUUAGUUUUAACA
This is a long non-coding RNA of Brassica napus (rape), 2871 nucleotides long. RefSeq lists it as uncharacterized. The record is from RefSeq and is a predicted model, not a curated record. The transcript has 2 exons. Lineage: Eukaryota; Viridiplantae; Streptophyta; Magnoliopsida; Brassicales; Brassicaceae.